RNAcentral lists this unclassified non-coding RNA (222 nucleotides) under Hevea brasiliensis (rubber tree). Lineage: Eukaryota; Viridiplantae; Streptophyta; Magnoliopsida; Malpighiales; Euphorbiaceae. The record is from RNAcentral.
AAUAAAUUUUCAGGUUUUUCGUCCUAUACCCAGUUGGUCUCUUCACGAUUCUUAGCAAAUUUUCAAGUUUUCCUAAGGUUACUUCCAGCGUUUAGCAAUGGCUGCCAGUGCGAGCUCAUAGACUAUGAUUUCUACGACGAUGAUGAUCUCUGUACCUUUGGUGAUGAUUCCGACGCUAGUUCUGAAAACGACUACAUCCCCGAAACCGAUGAUGAACAGCCG